Pelobates cultripes (western spadefoot toad) is the source of this 1005-nucleotide non-coding RNA. The record is from the annotation of a GenBank genome assembly. NCBI's taxonomy places the organism in Eukaryota, Metazoa, Chordata, Amphibia, Anura, Pelobatidae.
AAUCAUAAUAAUAACUUAACAAGUAAACAUGGGUCAUUGCCCCCCAUACUCCGCCCUCGCAUCCUAUUCCUUCCAUUAACAUAUAAAGGGCAAUGACCCCCAUAUAAAUAAACAUAUAUAUAUAUAACAUACAUCAACAUUAUUCCAAUCGAUGUAAAGUGCCAACCAUCCAUUAACCACGGCAGGGGUAUACCCGGAUACCUCUACCCCACCAGGUUCUGAGCCACCGACAGGACUCGAAACCUAUCAACCACCAAUGACCACCACUUGUUUGUCUUCCAUCACGUUCAUCCUGGGGAGCCUAUUUCCUCUCCUUCAGCUCCCCGUCCCGCCAUAAGCUCAGACCUUGACCCCUUAAGCCGUCUGAGCUCCGCCACCCCGAAGAAACAGCGCCCGCUGCAUACCAACCUGCCAACCCAAGUUGAGCAGAUCCCAACCCACCUCUGAAAGGUGAACCCCGUCCGAGCGGUAGUACCCCGGCAACCCCUCCUCCAACUCGCUGUGCCGUACCACCACACCUCCCAUCUUCCUAACGAAGCUCGCCAUUAAGCUGUUCACCUUUUUCCUGCAGUGAUCGAUCGCCACCGGAUCCCGCGCGUGCCGCCAUCGACGCCUUGGGACAAUCUCCGACCACACUAACAUAACCCCCGGAAGCAGGUCCCUCAAUUUGUUGAUGUCCUGCUUCAUCCACUUUACCAACCGACGUUGUGGCGUGAGGCCCAAGUCGUUACCCCCCGCAUGAAGGACCACCAUGUCCGGUGUCCUCCCGCCCACCACCAACCUAAACAUUGCCCCACAAACCUCCCCCCAGCAAAAUCCCCUGUACCCAAACCAUCGGACUGUCAACUGGUCCUUCGGAAAGCCCAGCUGCUGGCCCUGCAUUCGAGCUGCGGCCCUCCUCUCGGCCCAGAAGACAAAAGAAUGUCCCACAAUCCAAGCAACCCGUCCUGGGGAGAAGAAGAAAACAAGCAUGAGGGAAAGGCAAAGAGGACUCCUCCGUCCAUG